Molecule: ribosomal RNA, 709 nt
Filed under: Arthonia dispersa
Lineage: Eukaryota; Fungi; Ascomycota; Arthoniomycetes; Arthoniales; Arthoniaceae
Description: partial 18S small subunit ribosomal RNA
Rfam family: Eukaryotic small subunit ribosomal RNA
Source: RNAcentral
GUUAUCGUUUAUUUGAUAGUACCUUACUMCUUGNAUAACCGUGGUAANUCUAGAGCUAAUACAUGNUANAAGCCCCGACUCACGGAGGGGUGUAUUUAUUAGAUAAAAANCCNACGCCCUUCGGGGCUCNAUGGUGAUUCAUAAUAACUUCNCGAAUCGCAUGGCCUUGCGCCGGCNAUGGUUCAUUCNAAUUUCUGCCCUAUCNACUUUCNAUUGUUGGGUAGUGGCCAACAAUGGUUGCAACGGGUAACGGGGAAUUAGGGUUCGACUCCGNAGAGGGGGCCUGAGAAACAGCCACCACAUCCAAGGAAGGCAGCAGGCGCGCAAAUUACCCAAUCCCGACACGGGGAGGUAGUGACAAUAAAUACUGAUACAGGGNCUCUUUUGGGUCUUGUAAUUGGAAUGAGUACAAUUUAAAUACCUUAACGAGGAACAAUUGGAGGGCAAGUCUGGUGCCAGCAGCCGCGGUAAUUCCAGCUCCAAUAGCGUAUAUUAAAGUUGUUGCAGUUAAAAAGCUCGUAGUUGAACCUUGGGCCUGGCUGGCCGGUCCGCCUCACCGCGUGCACUGGUGCGGCCGGGCCUUUCCUCCGGGGGAACCGUCUGCCCUUCACUGGGCGGGCCGGGGAACCCGGACUUUUACUUUGAAAAAAUUAGAGUGUUCAAAGCAGGCCUUCGCUCGAAUACAUUAGCAUGGAAUAAUAGAAUAGCA